RNAcentral lists this ribosomal RNA (524 nucleotides) under uncultured archaeon. RNAcentral's name for it is "bacterial SSU rRNA". It matches the Rfam family "Archaeal small subunit ribosomal RNA", at positions 750 to 1280 of the family's 1478-position model. The record is from RNAcentral.
GCUGUAAACUAUGCCUACUAGACAUCGGAAGCCUUACGGGGGGUUUCCGGAGUCGGAGGGAAACCGUUAAGUAGGCCGCCUGGGGAGUACGGUCGCAAGGCUGAAACUUAAGGGAAUUGGCGGGGGAGCACACAAGGGGUGGAGGCUGCGGUUCAAUUCGACUCAACGCGGGGAACCUUACCAGAGGCGACAGCAGUAUGAAGGUCAGACUCAAGAUCUUACCAGACACGCUGAGAAGUAGUGCAUGGCCGUCGUCAGUUCGUGCCGUGAGGUGUCGUCUUAAGUGACGUAACGAACAAGACCCACGCCCAAUGUUGCUAACCAAUUCUAUUGGUGCACUCAUUGGGGACCGCUGACGAUAAGUCCGAGGAAGGUGUGGUCGACGGCAGGUCCGUAUGCCCUGAAUCCUCUGGGAUACACGCGGCCUACAAUGGAUGGUACAAUGAGAUGCGACACCGAAAGGUGAAGCUAAUCUCGAAAACCAUCCUCAGUUCAGAUCGAGGGUUGCAACUCACCCUCGUGAA